RNAcentral lists this non-coding RNA (28 nucleotides) under Mus musculus (house mouse). The record is from RNAcentral. Lineage: Eukaryota; Metazoa; Chordata; Mammalia; Rodentia; Muridae.
UCAUAUCUCAUGAUGCUGGUAGAGGAGA